UAAAGCUGCCUGUGUUCCUGCACUCAUGUGGCAAUGCCACUCUCAAACAAAAGAACUCAAGUCCUUUCUGCUGAGUUUGCAGUGCUCUGAAAGAAUGUACCUACAUUUGUCAGCUUGCUGUGUACUUCAUGCCAGCUCAGCUUUUUUGGAAGAAGUAUUUGGGCUGCCCCUCAUUUGAGUCUUCCUCGCAAUGCAAGUCUUCAGUCUCUUCAUGAAUGGUCCCUUGUUUGCCUUUGCCUGGAGCAUAUGUGGAGCACUCAGACAGUUGGAUAUGAAUGGACCACCAUCCAAUAUGCAGGAACCACCAGCUCCAAGGCAAGCAGGUCCCUGGCUGCAGCAGCAUCCUUGGCAUUUGCACUCUAUGAUGAUGAACAUGGCAAGAGAAAAAACGAAUGCGAUGGGACCAGUUUUAAGGAGAAACUGAAACCUGAGAAAGCAUUUUUCUAAGGUAGAUUUUGCUUGGCUGAUUGAAGCAGUUAUGUCUUCUACCCUUUCCACUCUUCUGGAAGAGUUACUGUCUUGUGGCAAGGAUGGUUGGAUAAAGCAGGAAUCCAGUCCAAAAUUACCAGAAUUCACAGCUCCAUACAUAGCAGAAACUUGUGACAGCAUCUCCAAGAACCAGCAGCCUGACCUGUGAAGCACCAAGACAUGAUCAGUACUCCUUGCUUCAUCACCACCUGUCUCUUGGAGAAGGUGAAAAGCAGCCCUAAGAAUUACCCAUAGCUCUUACCUAACCCAGAAACAUGCACGAAUGCCCUUCCCAUUGUCUAUAGACUCCAUUUAAUAAGUCAUUAGCUCAAGCUGCAUUUCAAAAG
This is a long non-coding RNA of Gallus gallus (chicken), 815 nucleotides long. The record is from Ensembl. Lineage: Eukaryota; Metazoa; Chordata; Aves; Galliformes; Phasianidae.